GUUGCUCACGAUUGACGCAGAGCGUUAUGCGGACACAUGCCACUCACCAAAUAAGAGAGCUUGCUUCUCUUGUUAACGGCGGACGGGUGAGUAAUGCCUAGGAAUCUGGCUGGUAAUGGGGGAUAACGUUCGGAAACGGACGCUAAUACCGCAUACGUCCUACCGAAGAAAGCAGGGGACCUUCGGGCCUUGCUCUAUCUUAUGAGCCUACGUCGGAUUAGCUAGUUGGUGGGGUAAUGGCUCACCAAGGCGACAAUCCGUAACUGGUCUGAGAGGAUGAUCACUCACACUGGAACUGAGACACGGUCCACACUCCUACUGGAGGCAGCAGUGGGGAAUAUUGGACAAUGGGCGAAAGCCUGAUCCACCCAUGCCGCGUGUGUGAAGAAGGUCUUCGGAUUGUAAAGCACUUUAAUUUGGGAGGAAGGGUUGUAGAUUAAUACUCUGCAAUUUUGACGUUACCGACAGAAUAAGCACCGGCUAACUCUGUGCCUACAGCCGCGGUAAUACAGAGGGUGCUUGCGUUAAUCGAAAUUACUGGGCGUAAAGCGCGCCUAUGUGGUUAGUUAAGUUGUAUGUGACAUCUCCGGGCUCAACCUGGGAACUGCAUUCAAAACUGACUGACUAUGGUAUGGUAGAGGGGUGCUGGAAUUUGCUGUGUAGCGGUGAAAUGCGUAGAUAUAUGAAAGCAAGUCUCUUGGCGAAAGCUAACACCUGAGAGUGAUACUCACGCUGAGGUGCCAAGAUGAGAUGAGCAGACAGUAUUAGAUACCCUGGG
Molecule: ribosomal RNA, 778 nt
Filed under: Pseudomonas sp. GMCo23
Lineage: Bacteria; Pseudomonadati; Pseudomonadota; Gammaproteobacteria; Pseudomonadales; Pseudomonadaceae
Description: bacterial SSU rRNA
Rfam family: Bacterial small subunit ribosomal RNA
Source: RNAcentral